RNAcentral lists this long non-coding RNA (445 nucleotides) under Prunus persica (peach). Its description in RNAcentral is "long non-coding RNA (PPER_LNC001765)". The record is from RNAcentral. Lineage: Eukaryota; Viridiplantae; Streptophyta; Magnoliopsida; Rosales; Rosaceae.
CGAACAAAAGAAAGAAAAAUAUGGCUAAAAGUUUUCUGAGCAGAGAGAUGACAAAAUAUUACACGGCAAACCAAGUGAGAAAUGAAGUACUUUCUUUUACUAAACUUCGAUCGCAUGUUUGCAAGUGCCUAUUAAGGAAGAGCCUUUUUAAGUCUUCCCAUUUCCUGAAUUUAAAAUAUAUCAUAAAGGGAAAUAAAGAUGGAUUUACCAUGUACACAAUAAAUCGUUGUCGUUUAGCUUGGGGGAUUCUCUCUUGAAGCAACUGUAGAUGAAAAAGAGACCCACCUGGGAAACAUACAUUGUUGUAAAAUCCAACUAAAUUGAAGAAAACAAGAAUAUCUGAAAAAAUAAUAAGAUAUUUAUGAUGAAUUUGGAGAUUUAGAAGCAAUAUUUUACGAGCAUUGAUGGUCCUUUUUCAACCCGGUAGAGAGCCAUAGGAAGUUGC